GGAGAGGUGACCGAGUGGCCGAAGGUGAUCGCCUGCUAAGCGAUUCAGCGCCCAAAAGGCGCUGCGAGGGUUCGAAUCCCUCCCUCUCCG
This 90-nucleotide transfer RNA is filed under the name Candidatus Tectimicrobiota bacterium. Its description in RNAcentral is "Candidatus Tectomicrobia bacterium tRNA-Ser". It matches the Rfam family "tRNA". From Rfam's summary of the family: Transfer RNA (tRNA) molecules are approximately 80 nucleotides in length. Their secondary structure includes four short double-helical elements and three loops (D, anti-codon, and T loops). The record is from RNAcentral. Lineage: Bacteria; Pseudomonadati; Candidatus Tectimicrobiota.